Molecule: long non-coding RNA, 379 nt
Filed under: Gossypium raimondii (Peruvian cotton)
Lineage: Eukaryota; Viridiplantae; Streptophyta; Magnoliopsida; Malvales; Malvaceae
Description: long non-coding RNA (GRAI_LNC005072)
Source: RNAcentral
AAUAAUUUUUUUAAAAUUUAAAGGUCCUUCCCCCUGGGUUUAAGUCCAAAAACAAAUAAUUGUGCAAGUACAAUAAUAUUUGACAUAAGUCAAGAAAUAGGACCUAUAAAAAGACGGGGCCAAGGAGACAUGCAGGGGACAGCUUAGUCCCAUGCACUUUCAUGCAGAAGGUGAUCUCCUGACAUGCUUUCUAAUGAAGGCACCAUAAUAAAUAUUAUGGGCUAAGUCUCUUCAUGGGCCUUUACAUAAGAAAAUAAGUGAGCUCAUUUGUCACAAAGGCUCCUUUCUGAUAUCUAAACCCUUUUUUAUUUUUGUUCUUGAUUUCUUGCAGUCAUUUUAUGAGAAUAUAUCUUCGAAGGCACAUUGUUUCCAAUAAUAA